Tachysurus fulvidraco (yellow catfish) is the source of this 130-nucleotide small nucleolar RNA. RefSeq annotates it as small nucleolar RNA SNORA3/SNORA45 family. NCBI's taxonomy places the organism in Eukaryota, Metazoa, Chordata, Actinopteri, Siluriformes, Bagridae. The transcript has a single exon. The record is from RefSeq and is a predicted model, not a curated record.
AGCGAAGCUAGAGUCACAUCCUGACCAGUCUGUGUCCUGGUGUGCUAUAGCUCUCGCAGAUUAAUCUCUCUGCUUAUUCAUUGGCUGAUGCUUCUCCGUCGCUCAGCCAAUCACCGGCUCAGAAACAUUA